Molecule: ribosomal RNA, 505 nt
Filed under: uncultured bacterium
Lineage: Bacteria
Description: partial 16S ribosomal RNA
Rfam family: Bacterial small subunit ribosomal RNA
Source: RNAcentral
GACGAACGCUGGCGGCGUGCCUAAUACAUGCAAGUAGAACGCACAGUUUAUACCGUAGCUUGCUACACCAUAGACUGUGAGUUGCGAACGGGUGAGUAACGCGUAGGUAACCUGCCUGGUAGCGGGGGAUAACUAUUGGAAACGAUAGCUAAUACCGCAUAAUAUUAAUUAUUGCAUGAUAAUUAAUUGAAAGGUGCAAUUGCACCACUACCAGAUGGACCUGCGUUGUAUUAGCUAGUAGGUGAGGUAACGGCUCACCUAGGCGACGAUACAUAGCCGACCUGGGAGGGGGAUCGGCCAAAAUGGGACUGAGAAACGGCCCAGACUCCUACGGGAGGCAGCAGUAGGGGAUCUUCGGCAAUGGACGAAAGUCUGGCCGAGCAACGCCGCGUGAGUGAAGAAAGUUUUCGGAUCGUAAAGCUCUGUUGUAAGAGAAGGACGAGUGUGAGAGUGGAAAGUUCACACUGUGACGGUAUCUUACCAGAAAGGGACGGCUAACUACGUG